CACGUAGGGCGCAAGCGUUGUCCGGAAUUAUUGGGCGUAAAGAGCUCGUAGGCGGUCUGUUGCGUCCGCUGUGAAAACUCGGGGCUUAACCCCGAGCCUGCAGUGGAUACGGGCAGACUAGAGGUAGGUAGGGGAGAAUGGAAUUCCCGGUGUAGCGGUGAAAUGCGCAGGUAUCGGGAGGAACACCGGUGGCGAAGGCGGUUCUCUGGGCCUUACCUGACGCUGAGGAGCGAAAGCGUGGGGAGCGAACAGG
RNAcentral lists this ribosomal RNA (253 nucleotides) under uncultured bacterium. RNAcentral's name for it is "partial 16S ribosomal RNA". It matches the Rfam family "Bacterial small subunit ribosomal RNA", at positions 524 to 776 of the family's 1533-position model. The record is from RNAcentral.